CUUCGCCAAGUUCAACGUCUUCUCCUUCUUUCCUAGAAUCACCAAGCUCGUGUUCCGAAAGCUGUGGAACACGCUCGUAGCCAUACGCCGCAGGCAGGAGGAGCUCUUCAUCCCUCUUAUAAGAAAGCGGAGGGAGCGCUACCAGCAGCUGCAGAAUCAAGAAGAAGAGGGCGACUUCGUUUAUUCUUACGUCGAUUCAGUUCUUGGUCUUCGCCUGCCCGAGGAAGGAGGACGGGAGCUCACCGACGGCGAGAUAGUGAGCCUCUGCUCCGAGUUCCUGAGCGCCGGCACCGACACGACAGCUACCGCGCUGCAGUGGAUCAUGGCGCACCUCGUGAAAGACCAGCACGUGCAGCGGAAGCUGUUCGACGAAAUCA
Molecule: long non-coding RNA, 377 nt
Filed under: Musa acuminata (dwarf banana)
Lineage: Eukaryota; Viridiplantae; Streptophyta; Magnoliopsida; Zingiberales; Musaceae
Description: long non-coding RNA (MACU_LNC007605)
Source: RNAcentral